Molecule: ribosomal RNA, 253 nt
Filed under: uncultured bacterium
Lineage: Bacteria
Description: partial 16S ribosomal RNA
Rfam family: Bacterial small subunit ribosomal RNA
Source: RNAcentral
UACGUAGGGGGCAAGCGUUGUCCGGAUUUAUUGGGCGUAAAGAGCGUGUAGGCGGCCAGGUAGGUCCGUUGUGAAAACUGGAGGCUUAACCUCCAGCGGUCGAUGGAAACCAUCUGGCUAGAGUCCGGAAGAGGAGAGUGGAAUUCCUGGUGUAGCGGUGAAAUGCGCAGAUAUCAGGAAGAACACCCGUGGCGAAGGCGGCUCGCUGGGACGGUACUGACGCUGAGGUGCGAAAGCGUGGGGAGCGAACAGG